CGGAGGGGGCUAGCGUUGUUCGGAAUUACUGGGGCGUAAAGCGCACGUAGGCGGACCAGAAAGUUGGGGGUGAAAUCCCGGGGGCUCAACCCCCGGAACUGCCUUCAAAACUAUUGGUCUGGAGUUCGAGAGAGGUGAGUGGAAUUCCGAGUGUAGAGGUGAAAUUCGUAGAUAUUCGGAGGAACACCAGUGGCGAAGGCGGCUCACUGGCUCGAUACUGACGCUGAGGUGCGAAAGCGUGGGGAGCAAACAGGAUU
Molecule: ribosomal RNA, 257 nt
Filed under: uncultured bacterium
Lineage: Bacteria
Description: partial 16S ribosomal RNA
Rfam family: Bacterial small subunit ribosomal RNA
Source: RNAcentral